Molecule: ribosomal RNA, 443 nt
Filed under: uncultured bacterium
Lineage: Bacteria
Description: partial 16S ribosomal RNA
Rfam family: Bacterial small subunit ribosomal RNA
Source: RNAcentral
CCUACGGGUGGCAGCAGUGGGGAAUCUUGGGCAAUGGGCGCAAGCCUGACCCAGCACCGCCGCGUGAAGGACGAAGGCCCUCGGGUUGUACACUUCUUUUGUCAGGGACGAAACAAAUGACGGUCCCUGACGAAUAAGCCACGGCUAACUACGUGCCAGCAGCCGCGGUAAUACGUAGGUGGCAAGCGUUAUCCGGAUUUACUGGGUGUAAAGGGCGUGUAGGCGGGAGAGCAAGUCAGAUGUGAAAUUCCAGGGCUCAACCCUGGAACUGCAUUUGAAACUGUUUUUCUUGAGUGAUGGAGAGGCAGGCGGAAUGCCGUGUGUAGCGGUGAAAUGCGUAGAGAUACGGAGGAACACCAGUGGCGAAGGCGGCCUGCUGGACAUUAACUGACGCUGAGGCGCGAAAGCGUGGGGAGCAAACAGGAUUAGAUACCCCUGUAGUC